AGCUCAGCCACCUCUAAGCUAUGCUUUGUUCUUUGCUCCUAAGAUGAUAUUGUUUAUGUUCCUUCGCAGGCAGAAACCUGAGCUUACUGGUCAUUCUUCAUUGGACUUUGGCUUCAGUUCCAGAAGUUUUUUGGACAAUCAAGAUUAGCUAUGUUUGGUGGAUUUCAUUUCCAAGUAUUAACCUGGCAGCUUCCUGUUCUCCUCCGUCUCCUGAACCAAGGCAGAAUCGUAACCUGUCUACCCUCCUACCCUCCCACACAAGUACCUGAACAUUGGAUUAACUCCUGAACUCACCAGAACCCACUCUACAGCUCAAGUAAAACCAUCUGGCUUUCUCCGCUACGCUCACCUGGGCCCCGACUCCCUCUACCCCUGGCGACCUGACUACACUCACUUAUUGGCGAUUCUACCGUUCACAUUCCUGUGUCACUACUUGUAAAUAAAACACCUUUUACUGA
Girardinichthys multiradiatus is the source of this 458-nucleotide long non-coding RNA. RefSeq lists it as uncharacterized. The record is from RefSeq and is a predicted model, not a curated record. Lineage: Eukaryota; Metazoa; Chordata; Actinopteri; Cyprinodontiformes; Goodeidae. The transcript has 2 exons.